AGUGGCGGACGGGGGAGUAACGCGUGGGUAACCUGCCUCAUACAGGGGGAUAACAGUUAGAAAUGACUGCUAAUACCGCAUAAGACCACGGUACCGCAUGGUACAGUGGUAAAAACUCCGGUGAUAUGAGAUGGACCCGCGUCUGAUUAGGUAGUUGGUGGGGUAACGGCCUACCAAGCCGACGAUCAGUAGCCGACCUGAGAGGGUGACCGGCCACAUUGGGACUGAGACACGGCCCAG
RNAcentral lists this ribosomal RNA (240 nucleotides) under uncultured bacterium. Its description in RNAcentral is "partial 16S ribosomal RNA". It matches the Rfam family "Bacterial small subunit ribosomal RNA", at positions 94 to 334 of the family's 1533-position model. The record is from RNAcentral.